CCUACGGGAGGCAGCAGUGGGGAAUAUUGCACAAUGGGGGAAACCCUGAUGCAGCGACGCCGCGUGAGUGAGGAAGUAUUUCGGUAUGUAAAGCUCUAUCAGCCGGGGAUAAAAUGACGGUACCUGACUAAGAAGCCCCGGCUAACUACGUGCCAGCAGCCGCGGUAAUACGUAGGGGGCAAGCGUUAUCCGGUUUUACUGGUGGUAAAGGGAGAGUAGACGGUUAAGCAAGUCAGAAGGGAAAACUCAGGGCUCAACCUUGGGACUGCUUUUGAAACUGAGUAGCUAGAGUGCAGGAGAGGUAAGAGGAAUGCCUAGUGUAGCGGUGAAAUGCGUAGAUAUUAGGAGGAACACCAGUGGCGAAGGCGGCUUACUGGACUGUAACUGACGUUGAGGCACGAAAGCGUGGGGAGCAAACAGGAUUAGAUACCCCAGUAGUC
RNAcentral lists this ribosomal RNA (440 nucleotides) under uncultured bacterium. RNAcentral describes it as "partial 16S ribosomal RNA". It matches the Rfam family "Bacterial small subunit ribosomal RNA", at positions 338 to 795 of the family's 1533-position model. The record is from RNAcentral.